AAUUAUUUCAUUAAAUAUAUAACUAAUUUUUUGCACAUGUACACUCACAUAAUUAAGAAGCCAAACGGCGAAUCCUUCAUGUCUGAGUUGUUGAAGCUCUUUUUCUGUAGCGUGUAUGUAAGUCAACCGCAGCUCUGCCAUAUAAAUACUAUACAAAAGUGAUGUCAUUAAUUAAUCUAAAAAUAAAAUUUAAUAAACAAUAUGACCUUUUAAAUGGAAUAAAAAUUUUCACCUCUCAUAUUGUAGAAGAUUUUCACAGUUGGUGAGCAAAUAUGUAUGCAAAUGAGCGUGUUCCCUCUC
RNAcentral lists this long non-coding RNA (300 nucleotides) under Brassica napus (rape). Its description in RNAcentral is "long non-coding RNA (BNAP_LNC025184)". The record is from RNAcentral. Lineage: Eukaryota; Viridiplantae; Streptophyta; Magnoliopsida; Brassicales; Brassicaceae.